UGUAACAGCAACUCCAUGUGGACUGUGCACAGAUCCCAGUGGAGCUGCUGUUACUUU
This 57-nucleotide microRNA precursor is filed under the name Rattus norvegicus (Norway rat). Its description in RNAcentral is "Rno-Mir-194-P2_pre stem-loop". It matches the Rfam family "mir-194 microRNA precursor family", at positions 14 to 72 of the family's 82-position model. From Rfam's summary of the family: The hairpin precursors (represented here) are predicted based on base pairing and cross-species conservation -- their extents are not known. In this case the mature sequence is excised from the 5' arm of the hairpin. Lineage: Eukaryota; Metazoa; Chordata; Mammalia; Rodentia; Muridae. The record is from RNAcentral.